CUUUUGAAUAUAAUUUAAGGUCUGACCUGCCCAAUGAAUUUUAAAUGGCCGCGGUAUUUUGACCGUGCAAAGGUAGCAUAAUCAUUAGUUUUUUAAUUGAAAGCUGGAAUGAAAGGUUGAAUGAGAAAAUAACUGUCUCUAUUUGAUUAUUUUAGAAUUUUAUUUUUAAGUUAAAAAGCUUAAAUUUAAUUAGAAGACGAGAAGACCCUAUAGAGUUUUAUUAAUUUUAUUAAUAAAUGUGGAUUAGUAUUUAAUAAUAUUUUUAAUAAAAGUAAUUUUAUUGGGGUGAUUAAAAAAUUUAAUAAACUUUUUUUUUAUAUUUACAUUAAUUUAUGGUUAUUUGAUCCUUAUAUUAAGAUUAAAAGAUAAAAUUACCUUAGGGAUAACAGCGUUAUUUUUUUUAAGAGUUCUAAUCGAAAAAAAAGAUUGCGACCUCGAUGUUGGAUUAAAAUUAAAUUUUGGUGUAGAAGCUAAA
RNAcentral lists this ribosomal RNA (475 nucleotides) under Polydrusus pterygomalis. RNAcentral's name for it is "partial 16S ribosomal RNA". It matches the Rfam family "Bacterial large subunit ribosomal RNA", at positions 1828 to 2566 of the family's 2925-position model. Lineage: Eukaryota; Metazoa; Arthropoda; Insecta; Coleoptera; Curculionidae. The record is from RNAcentral.